This 497-nucleotide ribosomal RNA is filed under the name uncultured bacterium. RNAcentral's name for it is "partial 16S ribosomal RNA". It matches the Rfam family "Bacterial small subunit ribosomal RNA", at positions 28 to 507 of the family's 1533-position model. The record is from RNAcentral.
GAUGAACGCUGGCGGCGUGCCUAAUACAUGCAAGUCGAGCGAACAGACGAGGAGCUUGCUCCUCUGACGUUAGCGGCGGACGGGUGAGUAACACGUGGAUAACCUACCUAUAAGACUGGGAUAACUUCGGGAAACCGGAGCCAAUACCGGAUAAUAUAUUCAACCGCAUGGUUCAAUAGUGAAAGACGGUUUUGCUGUCACUUAUAGAUGGAUCCGCGCCGCAUUAGCUAGUUGGUAAGGUAACGGCUUACCAAGGCAACGAUGCGUAGCCGACCUGAGAGGGUGAUCGGCCACACUGGAACUGAGACACGGUCCAGACUCCUACGGGAGGCAGCAGUAGGGAAUCUUGCGCAAAGGGCGAAAGCCUGAUGCAGCAACGCCGCGUGAGUGAUGAAGGUCUUCGGAUCGUAAAACUCUGUUAUUAGGGAAGAACAAAUGUGUAAGUAACUAUGCACGUCUUGACGGUACCUAAUCAGAAAGCCACGGCUAACUACGUG